AUUGAACGCUGGCGGCAGGCCUAACACAUGCAAGUCGGACGGUAGCACAGAGCAGCUUGCUCCUCGGGUGACGAGUGGCGGACGGGUGAGUAAUGUCUGGGGAUCUGCCCGAUAGAGGGGGAUAACCACUGGAAACGGUGGCUAAUACCGCAUAACGUCGCAAGACCAAAGAGGGGGACCUUCGGGCCUCUCACUAUCGGAUGAACCCAGAUGGGAUUAGCUAGUAGGCGGGGUAAUGGCCCACCUAGGCGACGAUCCCUAGCUGGGCUGAGAGGAUGACCAGCCCCACUGGAACUGAGACACGGUCCAGACUCCUACGGGAGGCAGCAGUGGGGAAUAUUGCACAAUGGGCGCAAGCCUGAUGCAGCCAUGCCGCGUGUAUGAAGAAGGCCUUCGGGUUGUAAAGUACUUUCAGCGGGGAGGAAGGCGAUAAGGUUAAUAACCUUGUCGAUUGACGUUACCCGCAGAAGAAGCACCGGCUAACUCCGUGCCAGCAGCCGCCGUAA
RNAcentral lists this ribosomal RNA (506 nucleotides) under uncultured bacterium. RNAcentral's name for it is "partial 16S ribosomal RNA". It matches the Rfam family "Bacterial small subunit ribosomal RNA", at positions 29 to 523 of the family's 1533-position model. The record is from RNAcentral.